AACGAACGCUGGCGGCAGGCCUAACACAUGCAAGUCGAGCGGACCUUUCGGGGUCAGCGGCGGACGGGUGAGUAACGCGUGGGAAUAUGCCCUUCUCUACGGAAUAGUCCUGGGAAACUGGGGGUAAUACCGUAUACGCCCUUUGGGGGAAAGAUUUAUCGGGGAAGGAUUAGCCCGCGUUGGAUUAGGUAGUUGGUGGGGUAAUGGCCUACCAAGCCGACGAUCCAUAGCUGGUUUGAGAGGUUGAUCAGCCACACUGGGACUGAGACACGGCCCAGACUCCUACGGGAGGCAGCAGUGGGGAAUCUUAGACAAUGGGGGCAACCCUGAUCUAGCCAUGCCGCGUGAGUGAUGAAGGCCUUAGGGUUGUAAAGCUCUUUCAGCUGGGAAGAUAAUGACGGUACCAGCAGAAGAAGCCCCGGCUAACUCCGUG
This 433-nucleotide ribosomal RNA is filed under the name uncultured bacterium. RNAcentral describes it as "partial 16S ribosomal RNA". It matches the Rfam family "Bacterial small subunit ribosomal RNA", at positions 29 to 507 of the family's 1533-position model. The record is from RNAcentral.